GAUGAAGAACGUAGCGAAAUGCGAUAAGUAAUGUGAAUUGCAGAAUUCAGUGAAUCAUCGAAUCUUUGAACGCAUAUUGCGCCCCUUGGUAUUCCGGGGGGCACACCUGUCCGAGCGCCGUCGCAGCACUGAGGCUUCAGCCUUGCGUUGGCGGAUCGGCCUCCUCUUUCUGCAUCAGAGCAGGGAGGGGGAGCCGCCGCCGAAACUCCGACGGCGCCGCACCGCGGCCGGCAUUGCGCAAACAGCAAGCAGCCCGGCGGGCGAGAGCGGCGGCCUGUACAAAAACAAAACACAAGCUUGGCCUCGGAUCAGGUGGGGAUACCCGCUGAACUUAAGCAUAUCAAUAAGCGGAGGA
RNAcentral lists this unclassified non-coding RNA (355 nucleotides) under soil metagenome. RNAcentral describes it as "partial contains 5.8S ribosomal RNA, internal transcribed spacer 2, and large subunit ribosomal RNA". The stretch from base 1 to 120 matches the Rfam family "5.8S ribosomal RNA", at positions 35 to 154 of the family's 154-position model. The record is from RNAcentral.